CGGGACCAAAACCCCACAGGGUGCUCUGCCCCCCACCCCGCAGUGGAGUUUCACUACUCAAGUGCCUUAAGUCUAUGUAAGGGGGUCCUGGGGGGCUCUGGCCCCAGCACUGGGGGGAUCUGGGGUGCUCCCCCCGCACAAGGGGCUCUGGGACCCUUCUGCCCCCUCCCAAAGCUGGGAUGGGGUCCAACACUACUUGCCCCAGAGAGGGGGGGGUGAAAGGGCCCCCUCCAGUCAUGGCCUCCCGGGUGGGGUGUAGCCCCCACCCCUCUUCCCAGGGAGGCUGGGGGAUACUCCCUGCCCCCUCUGUGUGGGACCUGGGGGACUCCGCAGCUGACCCCCUUUACUGCAGCUCCCGGGGGGCAGGGGAGGGGAGGACCCCGGCCUGGUGGGACCCCCGGGAGGGCGGGACAGGACCCCCGUCCCCCAUUUGUGGGAGUGUCGCGUGUCGUGUCCCCCGCCACCCCAUUUGUGGGGCUCCUUCCCCUGCUCUGUACCGAGAAAUAAAUUAUUGAACCGGCCCUGCGUCUGCCCCGUUCCCUGUGCGCCUCGGAGCCCCCUGCGCCCCCCCACCCCCCGCUCCCCCCUUCCCCGUGGCCCCCCCCCCCCCCCCCCCGCCCCCCCCCCCCCCCCCGUUGCCAUGGCGACGCCCCCGGCCCCGCGCCGUUGCCAUGGCGGCCCCGCCCCGCGCGGUCACGUGAGCUGCCGGACGCGCCCGCCAUGCUGCGCCCGCCCGGGCCCGCCCCGGGCUCGUGGCUCUGCUGAUCGCCUCUGCUCCUGUCCCCCAUGGGCUCACCAGGUGGGUGUGGGGGACCCCCCCGGGCCUGUGACCCACCCCUCGUGCCCCUGGCUCUGGGGACCCCAUUUGGACCCUUCCCCCCGGGCUGUGGGACCCCCUUGGAGCACCUUCAUCCGUGGGACCCCCCUCGGGCACCCCCCGGGUUCUGGGGAGGGGAUGCUGGGGACACCCCAACCCUCGCCCCCACCCCCAGGGGUCAUGGCGUGGUGACACCCCCGGGGUGUCCUAGAUUCGGGGGACUUGGACAGGUUUGACCCUUGAGGUGGCAGCCUGGGGGGGUGAAUGUCCCCAGGGGGGCAGGGGGCUCUGGGACCCCUCAGAACCCUCCUGGGUGCCAUGUCCGGGCUCUGGGCAAUCUGGGGGCGUCCCUAAGUGCCCAGACUCUGAGGGUUUUGGGGAGAUCACGUUCAGAUUCUACCGGGUUUUGGGGUGACCCACAGUCCCCAGACUCUGGGGUCUUGAAGUGUCCAUGCCCAGU
This 1277-nucleotide long non-coding RNA is filed under the name Chloebia gouldiae (Gouldian finch). RNAcentral describes it as "Erythrura gouldiae (Gouldian finch) lncRNA (ENSEGOG00005017169.1)". The record is from RNAcentral. Lineage: Eukaryota; Metazoa; Chordata; Aves; Passeriformes; Passeridae.